Molecule: ribosomal RNA, 493 nt
Filed under: uncultured bacterium
Lineage: Bacteria
Description: partial 16S ribosomal RNA
Rfam family: Bacterial small subunit ribosomal RNA
Source: RNAcentral
GACGAACGCUGGCGGCGUGCCUAACACAUGCAAGUUGAGCGACGAACCAGGGCUUGCCCUGGGGCAAAGCAGCGAACGGGUGAGUAACACGUGGGUAACCUACCCCGAUAACCGGGACAACCCGCGGAAACUCGGGCUAAUACCGGAUGUGCACACUGGACUUCGGCUCAGUGCGUAAAGGAAGCUUCGGCCUCCGUAUCCGGAGGGGCCCGCGGCCCAUUAGUUUGUUGGUGAGGUAACGGCUCACCAAGACCGCGAUGGGUAGCUGGUCUGAGAGGACGAUCGGCCACACUGGGACUGAGACACGGCCCAGACUCCUACGGGAGGCAGCAGUGGGGAAUCUUGCGCAAUGCGCGAAAGCGUGACGCAGCAACGCCGCGUGGGGGAAGAAGGUCUUCGGGUUGUAAAACCCUGUCAGGAGGGACGAAGGUACGGCGGUGAAUAGCCGUCCGGACUGACGGUACCUCCACAGGAAGCCACGGCUAACUACGUG